Brassica napus (rape) is the source of this 236-nucleotide long non-coding RNA. RefSeq lists it as uncharacterized. The record is from RefSeq and is a predicted model, not a curated record. NCBI's taxonomy places the organism in Eukaryota, Viridiplantae, Streptophyta, Magnoliopsida, Brassicales, Brassicaceae. The transcript has 2 exons.
CUAAAACCUUGCAGGUUUUCUUCUUGCUGCCGCUGAAAAGGGUCAACGGUUUGCGAUGCCAUUGUUAAGGAUCGCUCUCCAGUCACCUGCUGGUGCAGCUCGUGGUCAGCUGGUGCAGCUAUAAGCCGCUUAUCUCUAUGGACUAUAAAAAAUAUUUUUCCUCUCUUAUAGUAACAUGGUAAAGCUAUAUAUAUACACUUGCAAAAUUCCUUCAGGCUGAUGAUAUUCAAAAUGAA